RNAcentral lists this transfer RNA (73 nucleotides) under Candidatus Magasanikbacteria bacterium CG10_big_fil_rev_8_21_14_0_10_43_6. RNAcentral describes it as "tRNA-Ala". It matches the Rfam family "tRNA". Rfam says of the family: Transfer RNA (tRNA) molecules are approximately 80 nucleotides in length. Their secondary structure includes four short double-helical elements and three loops (D, anti-codon, and T loops). Lineage: Bacteria; Candidatus Magasanikiibacteriota. The record is from RNAcentral.
GGGCCAUUAGCUCAGCUGGUAGAGCGCUGCCAUGGCAUGGCAGAAGUCAGCGGUUCAAGUCCGCUAUGGUCCA